CUGGACCGGACGGCUGCUGGCGGGCACGUUCUCGGAUGACUCACGCCUAUCGGCGCCGCUAUAGCUUUGAGUAAUCUCAGAACCCGUCUUGAAACACGGACCAAGGAGUCUAGCAUGUGCGCGAGUCAUUGGGACUUGUAAACCUACUGGCGAAAUGAAAGUAAAGGCCGCCUUGUGCGCGCCUACUGAGGAUGGGUCGAACCGCGGUGUGGCCCCGCACUCCUGGGGCAUUUCGUGCCCAUUGCGGGCUGAGGCGCACCGAGAGCGCAAAUGCUGGGACCCGAAAGAUGGUGAACUAUGCCUGGUCAGAACGAAGUCAGGGGAAACCCUGAUGGAGGUUCGUAGCGAUUCUGACGUGCAAAUCGAUCGUCG
This 372-nucleotide ribosomal RNA is filed under the name Ablattaria laevigata. Its description in RNAcentral is "partial large subunit ribosomal RNA". It matches the Rfam family "Eukaryotic large subunit ribosomal RNA", at positions 565 to 907 of the family's 3401-position model. The record is from RNAcentral. Lineage: Eukaryota; Metazoa; Arthropoda; Insecta; Coleoptera; Silphidae.